UACGUAGGGGGCAAGCGUUGUUCGGAUUCAUUGGGCGUAAAGGGUGCGUAGGCGGCGCGGUAAGUCGGGUGUGAAAUCUCGGAGCUUAACUCCGAAACUGCAUUCGAUACUGCCGUGCUUGAGGACUGGAAAGGAGACUGGAAUUUACGGUGUAGCGGUGAAAUGCGUAGAUAUCGUAAGGAAGACCAGUGGCGAAGGCGGGUCUCUGGACAGUUCCUGACGCUGAGGCACGAAGGCCAGGGGAGCAAACGGG
RNAcentral lists this ribosomal RNA (253 nucleotides) under uncultured bacterium. Its description in RNAcentral is "partial 16S ribosomal RNA". It matches the Rfam family "Bacterial small subunit ribosomal RNA", at positions 524 to 776 of the family's 1533-position model. The record is from RNAcentral.